AAUACAGAGGUCUCAAGCGUUGUUCGGAUUCAUUGGGCGUAAAGGGUGCGUAGGCGGUGCCGUAAGUCGGGUGUGAAAUCCCGGGGCUUAACCCCGGAACUGCAUUCGAUACUGCGGUGCUCGAGGACUGGAGAGGAGACUGGAAUUCACGGUGUAGCAGUGAAAUGCGUAGAUAUCGUGAGGAAGGCCAGUGGCGAAGGCGGGUCUCUGGACAGUUCCUGACGCUGAGGCACGAAGGCCAGGGGAGCAAACGGGA
This 256-nucleotide ribosomal RNA is filed under the name uncultured prokaryote. Its description in RNAcentral is "partial 16S ribosomal RNA". It matches the Rfam family "Bacterial small subunit ribosomal RNA", at positions 522 to 777 of the family's 1533-position model. The record is from RNAcentral.